GUUGUCCGGAAUUAUUGGGCGUAAAGCGCGCGCAGGCGGUUUCUUAAGUCUGAUGUGAAAGCCCCCGGCUCAACCGAGGGAGGGUCAUUGGAAACUGGGUGAACUUGAGUGCAGAAGAGGAGAAUGGAAUUCCACGUGUAGCGGUGAAAUGCGUAGAGAUGUGGAGGAACACCAGUGGCGAAGGCGACUCUCUGGUCUGUAACUGACGCUGAGGCGCGAAAGCGUGGGGAGCGAACAGGAUUAGAUACCCUGGUAGUCCACGCCGUAAACGAUGAGUGCUAAGUGUUAGAGGGUUUCCGCCCUUUAGUGCUGCAGCAAACGCAUUAAGCACUCCGCCUGGGGAGUACGGUCGCAAGACUGAAACUCAAAGGAAUUGACGGGGGCCCGCACAAGCGGUGGAGCAUGUGGUUUAAUUCGAAGCAACGCGAAGAACCUUACCAGGUCUUGACAUCCUCUGACAACCCUAGAGAUAGGGCUUCCCCUUCGGGGGCAGAGUGACAGGUGGUGCAUGGUUGUCGUCAGCUCGUGUCGUGAGAUGUUGGGUUAAGUCCCGCAACGAGCGCAACCCUUGAUCUUAGUUGCCAGCAUUCAGUUGGGCACUCUAAGGUGACUGCCGGUGACAAACCGGAGGAAGGUGGGGAUGACGUCAAAUCAUCAUGCCCCUUAUGACCUGGGCUACACACGUGCUACAAUGGGCAGAACAAAGGGCAGCGAAGCCGCGAGGCUAAGCCAAUCCCACAAAUCUGUUCUCAGUUCGGAUCGCAGUCUGCAACUCGACUGCGUGAAGCUGGAAUCGCUAGUAAUCGCGGAUCAGCAUGCCGGGGGAAAAACCUUUCCCGGGCCCUUGUACACACCGCCCGUCACACCACGAAGAGUUUGUAACACCCGAAGUCGGUGAGGUAACCUUUUUGGAGCCAGCCGCCGAAGGUGGGACAGAUGAUUGGG
Molecule: ribosomal RNA, 945 nt
Filed under: Bacillus licheniformis
Lineage: Bacteria; Bacillati; Bacillota; Bacilli; Caryophanales; Bacillaceae
Description: bacterial SSU rRNA
Rfam family: Bacterial small subunit ribosomal RNA
Source: RNAcentral